AAGCUUGCUUCUAAUAAAUAGCGGCGGACGGGUGAGUAACACGUGGGUAACCUGCCUUACACAAAGGAAUAACAAUGAGAAAUCAUUGCUAAAACCUUAUAAGCUCCCGACACCGCAAGAUGAUGGGAGAAAAUAUUUAUAGGUGUAAGAGGGGCCCGCGUCUGAUUAGCUAGUUGGUAAGGUAACGGCCUACCAAGGCAACGAUCACUAUCCGACCUGAGAGGGUGACCGGCCACAUUGGGACUGAGACACGGCCCAAACUCCUACGGGAGGCAGCAGUGGGGAAUAUUGCACAAUGGGGGAAACCCUGAUGCAGCAACGCCGCGUGAAGGAUGAAGGCUUUCGAGUUGUAAACUUCUAUCAACGGGGAAGAAAAAAAUGACGGUACCCGAAUAAGAAGCCCCGGCUAACUACAUGCCAGCAGCCGCGGUAAUACGUAUGGGGCAAGCGUUAUCCGGAAUUACUGGGUGUAAAGGGUGAGUAGGCGGUAAGGUAAGUCAUAUGUGAAAGCCCAGGGCUUAACCCUGGGAUUGCAUAAGAAACUGCCAGACUAGAGUACAGGAGAGGUAAACGGAAUUCCUAGUGUAGCGGUGAAAUGCGUAUAUAUU
Molecule: ribosomal RNA, 608 nt
Filed under: uncultured bacterium
Lineage: Bacteria
Description: bacterial SSU rRNA
Rfam family: Bacterial small subunit ribosomal RNA
Source: RNAcentral